ACCUCACUGGUUCAGUGGGUGGGACGUGUGACUCUUGGUCUCAGCUUUGUGGGUUCGAGCCCCACGUUGGGUG
RNAcentral lists this transfer RNA (73 nucleotides) under Ailuropoda melanoleuca (giant panda). It matches the Rfam family "tRNA". Rfam says of the family: Transfer RNA (tRNA) molecules are approximately 80 nucleotides in length. The record is from Rfam by way of RNAcentral. Lineage: Eukaryota; Metazoa; Chordata; Mammalia; Carnivora; Ursidae.